CUAACUUAGACCCGUUAUCCGGGUUGAGGACAGUGCCUGGUGGGUAGUUUGACUGGGGCGGUCUCCUCCCAAAGAGUAACGGAGGAGCACGAAGGUGGGCUAAUCACGGUUGGACAUCGUGAGGUUAGUGCAAUGGCAUAAGCCCGCUUAACUGCGAGAAUGACGGUUCGAGCAGGUGCGAAAGCAGGUCAUAGUGAUCCGGUGGUUCUGUAUGGAAGGGCCAUCGCUCAACGGAUAAAAGGUACUCCGGGGAUAACAGGCUGAUACCGCCCAAGAGUUCAUAUCGACGGCGGUGUUUGGCACCUCGAUGUCGGCUCAUCACAUCCUGGGGCUGAAGUCGGUCCCAAGGGUAUGGCUGUUCGCCAUUUAAAGUGGUACGCGAGCUGGGUUUAGAACGUCGUGAGACAGUUCGGUCCCUAUCUGCCGUGGGCGUUGGAAGAUUGAAGGGGGCUGCUCCUAGUACGAGAGGACCGGAGUGGACGAACCUCUGGUGUUCGGGUUGUGUCGCCAGACGCAUUGCCCGGUAGCUAAGUUCGGAAUUGAUAAGCGCUGAAAGCAUCUAAGCGCGAAGCGAGCCCUGAGAUGAGUCUUCCCUGACGGUUUAACCGUCCUAAAGGGUUGUUCGAGACUAGAACGUUGAUAGGCAGGGUGUGUAAGCGUUGUGAGGCGUUGAGCUAACCUGUACUAAUUGCCCGUGAGGCUUAACCAU
Molecule: ribosomal RNA, 709 nt
Filed under: Vibrio cholerae
Lineage: Bacteria; Pseudomonadati; Pseudomonadota; Gammaproteobacteria; Vibrionales; Vibrionaceae
Description: partial 23S ribosomal RNA
Rfam family: Bacterial large subunit ribosomal RNA
Source: RNAcentral